RNAcentral lists this ribosomal RNA (252 nucleotides) under Hyalomma rufipes. RNAcentral describes it as "partial large subunit ribosomal RNA". Lineage: Eukaryota; Metazoa; Arthropoda; Arachnida; Ixodida; Ixodidae. The record is from RNAcentral.
AAUGCUAAAAGAAUGGAAAUUUAAAAAAAAACUUUUUUAAAAAUAAAAAUUGAAUUUUUUUUAAUUUGUGCAAAAACAAUUAUAUUUAUUAAAGACAAGAAGACCCUAAGAAUUUAAGAUUUUACAAUUAAAAAGUUUUUUUUUUUAAAAUCUUGAUUGGGGCGAUCAAAAAAUAUUAAUAACUUUUUAAAAUUUAAAUUGAUCUAUUAUUAAUAAACUAAUGAAUUAAAUACUCUAGGGAUAACAGCGUAA